Molecule: ribosomal RNA, 442 nt
Filed under: uncultured bacterium
Lineage: Bacteria
Description: partial 16S ribosomal RNA
Rfam family: Bacterial small subunit ribosomal RNA
Source: RNAcentral
CCUACGGGUGGCAGCAGUAGGGAAUCUUUCACAAUGGGCGAAAGCCUGAUGGAGCAACGCCGCGUGCAGGAUGAAGGCCCUCGGGUUGUAAACUGCUUUUAUAAGCGAGAAAUAUGAUGGUAACUUAUGAAUAAGGAUCGGCUAACUACGUGCCACCAGCCGCGGUCAUACGUAGGAUCCGAGCAUUAUCCGGAGUAACUGGGUGUAAAGAGUUGCGUAGGUGGCAUAGUAGGUAGCUGGUGAAAUCUGGUGGCUCAACAAUUCAGACCAUUAGCUAAACUGCUAAGCUCGAGACCGUUAGGAGUAACUGGAAUUUCUAGUGUAGGAGUGAAAUCCGUAGAUAUUAGAAGGAACACCGAUAGCGUAGGCAGCUUACUAAGCCAUAACUGACACUGAAGCACGAAAGCGUGGGGAUCAAACAGGAUUAGAUACCCGUGUAGUC